Molecule: ribosomal RNA, 253 nt
Filed under: uncultured bacterium
Lineage: Bacteria
Description: partial 16S ribosomal RNA
Rfam family: Bacterial small subunit ribosomal RNA
Source: RNAcentral
UACGGGGGGGGCAAGCGUUGUUCGGAAUUACUGGGCGUAAAGAGUGCGUAGGCGGUUUUCUAAGUUUGGUGUGAAAUCUCCCGGCUUAACUGGGAGGGUGCGCCGAAGACUGGAAGGCUUGAGUAUGGGAGAGGUAAGCGGAAUUCCUGGUGUAGCGGUGAAAUGCGUAGAUAUCAGGAGGAACACCUGCGGUGUAGACGGCUUACUGGACCAUCACUGACGCUGAGGCACGAAAGCGUGGGUAGCAAACAGG